CCCGACUGCUAUUUGGGUGAGAAUAAGCGCAUGCGAGUUGAAUGGGAUGCCUAAAUUUCCCAUAGCAAACUGCUCAGUAACACAUGAUCAACUUACCCUAUAGAGAAAAAUAACCUCGGGAAACUGAGGAUAAUAUUUCAUAGUUGAAACGGCUUGGAAAAGUGUUUCGACCAAAGGGAUAAGAAAAAUGGUUCUUCUCCGCUAUAGGAUAGGAUCGUGCUCGAUCAUGGUUGUUGGUGAGGUAACGGCUCACCAGGCCGAUAAUCGAUAGGGGCCGUGAGAGCGGGAGCCCCGAGAUGGGUACUGAGACAACGACCCAGGCCUUACGAGGCGCAGCAGGCGCGAAACCUCCGCAAUACACGAAAGUGUGACGGGGUUACCCAAAGUGUUCAUUAUUGAACUGUGGUAGGUGAGUAAUGUCCCCUACUAGAAAGGAGAGGGCAAGGCUGGUGCCAGCCGCCGCGGUAAAACCAGCUCUUCAAGUGGUCGGGAUAAUUAUUGGGCUUAAAGUGUCCGUAGCCGGUUUAGUAAGUUCCUGGUAAAAUCGGGUAGCUUAACUAUCUGUAUGCUAGGAAUACUGCUAUACUAGAGGGCGGGAGAGGUCUGAGGUACUACAGGGGUAGGGGUGAAAUCUUAUAAUCCUUGUAGGACCACCAGUGGCGAAGGCGUCAGACUGGAACGUGCCUGACGGUGAGGGACGAAAGCCAGGGGAGCGAACCGGAUUAGAUACCCGGGUAGUCCUGGCCGUAAACGAUGCAUACUAGGUGAUGGCACGGCCAUGAGCCGUGUCAGUGCCGUAGGGAAACCGUUAAGUGUGCCGCCUGGGAAGUACGGUCGCAAGGCUAAAACUUAAAGGAAUUGGCGGGGGAGCACCACAAGGGGUGAAGCCUGCGGUUC
This 897-nucleotide ribosomal RNA is filed under the name uncultured archaeon. RNAcentral's name for it is "bacterial SSU rRNA". It matches the Rfam family "Archaeal small subunit ribosomal RNA", at positions 21 to 903 of the family's 1478-position model. The record is from RNAcentral.